RNAcentral lists this ribosomal RNA (406 nucleotides) under uncultured bacterium. RNAcentral describes it as "partial 16S ribosomal RNA". It matches the Rfam family "Bacterial small subunit ribosomal RNA", at positions 30 to 526 of the family's 1533-position model. The record is from RNAcentral.
AUUGAACGCUGGCGGCAGGCCUAACACAUGCAAGUCGAACGAGUGGCGGACGGGUGAGUAAUGUCUGGGAAACUGCCCGCUGGAGGGGGAUAACUACUGGAAACGGUAGCUAAUACCGCAUACCAUCGGAUGUGCCCAGAUGGGAUUAGCUUGUAGGUGAGGUAACGGCUCACCUAGGCGACGAUCCCUAGCUGGUCUGAGAGGAUGACCAGACACACUGUAGCUGAGCCACGGUCCAGACUCGUACGGGAGGCAGAAGUGGGGCGUAUUACACAAUGGGCGCAAGCCGAAUUCAGACAUGCGGCGUGUGGGAAGAGGGUCUUCGGAUUGUAAAGCACUUUAAGUUGGGAGGCGUUAACAACAGAAUAAGCAACGGCUAACUUCGUGCCAGCAGCCGCGGUAAUUC